AGUGAACGCUGGCGGUAGGCCUAACACAUGCAAGUCGAACGGCAGCACAGUAAGAGCUUGCUCUUACGGGUGGCGAGUGGCGGACGGGUGAGGAAUACAUCGGAAUCUACUUUUUCGUGGGGGAUAACGUAGGGAAACUUACGCUAAUACCGCAUACGACCUACGGGUGAAAGCAGGGGAUCUUCGGACCUUGCGCGAUUGAAUGAGCCGAUGUCGGAUUAGCUAGUUGGCGGGGUAAAGGCCCACCAAGGCGACGAUCCGUAGCUGGUCUGAGAGGAUGAUCAGCCACACUGGAACUGAGACACGGUCCAGCCCCCUACGGGGGGCAGCAGGGGGGAAUUUUGGAAAAUGGGCGCAAGCCUGAUCCAGCCAUCCCGGGUGGGUGAAGAAGGCCUUCGGGUUGUAAAGCCCUUUUGUUGGGAAAAAAAAGCAGCAGGUUAAUACCCCGCUGUUCUGACGGUACCAAAAGAAUAAGCACCGGUUAACUUCGU
RNAcentral lists this ribosomal RNA (491 nucleotides) under uncultured bacterium. RNAcentral's name for it is "partial 16S ribosomal RNA". It matches the Rfam family "Bacterial small subunit ribosomal RNA", at positions 29 to 506 of the family's 1533-position model. The record is from RNAcentral.